CUACGGGAUGCAGCAGUGGGGAAUAUUGCACAAUGGGCGCAAGCCUGAUGCAGCCAUGCCGCGUGUAUGAAGAAGGCCUUCGGGUUGUAAAGUACUUUCAGCGGGGAGGAAGGGAGUAAAGUUAAUACCUUUGCUCAUUGACGUUACCCGCAGAAGAAGCACCGGCUAACUCCGUGCCAGCAGCCGCGGUAAUACGGAGGAUGCAAGCGUUAAUCGGAAUUACUGGGCGUAAAGCGCACGCAGGCGGUUUGUUAAGUCAGAUGUGAAAUCCCCGGGCUCAACCUGGGAACUGCAUCUGAACUGGCAAGCUUGAGUCUCGUAGAGGGGGGUAGAAUUCCAGGUGUAGCGGUGAAAUGCGUAGAGAUCUGGAGGAAUACCGGUGGCGAAGGCGGCCCCCUGGACGAAGACUGACGCUCAGGUGCGAAAGCGUGGGGAGCAAACAGGAUUAGAUACCCCCGUAGUC
Molecule: ribosomal RNA, 463 nt
Filed under: uncultured bacterium
Lineage: Bacteria
Description: partial 16S ribosomal RNA
Rfam family: Bacterial small subunit ribosomal RNA
Source: RNAcentral